This 415-nucleotide ribosomal RNA is filed under the name uncultured microorganism. RNAcentral's name for it is "bacterial SSU rRNA". It matches the Rfam family "Archaeal small subunit ribosomal RNA", at positions 330 to 745 of the family's 1478-position model. The record is from RNAcentral.
GUGCACCAGGCGAGAAAACUUCACAAUGUGCGAAAGCACGAUGAGGGAAUCCCAAGUGCUUGCACGUAAGUGUAAGCUGUUUCUCUGUCUAAAACGCAGAGGGAGUAAGGGCUGGGUAAGACGGGUGCCAGCCGCCGCGGUAAUACCUGCAGCUCGAGUGGUGACCGUUAUUAUUGGGCCUAAAACGUCCGUAGCCGGUUUAAUAAAUGCCUGGGUAAAUCGGACCGCUUAACGGUUCGAAUUCCGGGUAGACUGUUAAACUUGAGACCGGGAGAAGUUAGAGGUACUCCUGGGGUAGAGGUGAAAUUCUGUAAUCCUAGGGGGACCACCAGUGGCGAAGGCGUCUAACUAGAACGGGUCUGACGGUGAGGGACGAAGCCCUGGGGCGCAAACGGGGAUUAGAUACCCGUGUAGU